RNAcentral lists this long non-coding RNA (2526 nucleotides) under Marmota monax (woodchuck). Lineage: Eukaryota; Metazoa; Chordata; Mammalia; Rodentia; Sciuridae. The record is from RNAcentral.
AUCUACACCUAAAAAAUAAAUAUUAAAAAAGAAUUAUUUAUCUAUACAAAAUUAAUAGUAUGCCUCUGAAUUCAGUGUAUAUUGUCAUCUUUAUUGAUUUAUCUCAGUGCCUAAAGUAAGGUCACUUCUCUUUGGGGGAACUAGACUUUUAUAGAGCCAUCCAGCUUCAGUUUUCUUUGUUCUUAAAUCUAUUCUAUCAGUAUGGUAGCAGGGUACUUUUUCUCUAGAUCAGGAAUAUUUUAGAUCAUCUCCUAUUCAAAAUAGUCAUGUUUUGGGACAUUUUAAUGCUGAAUUAAUAAGCAAUAACCCAGUAUUCUCUCUAGUUUCCUAGCCUUUCUAAUGAUUUGUGGUUUUUUUUCCCCUUUCUUUUCUGGUCCCUAACUAUUCAUACAUUGAUUCAGUAAACUUAACAUCUGCUUUGCCACAGAGGUCAUGGGAAGGAGAGGCAGCUCUGCAAAUGAAAUGUAGUAUGGUAGGGACUCUAAUAGAGAUAUGUUCAAGGUGCUUCUUUUGGUAACUUGGAGGGUAGUCCCCAAAGUUCAGUCACUAGUAAUGUUUUUCUUCCUUUGUUCUGCAUCAUUUUUUAAGUUCAGACAGUUUUUCUGCUUUUAAACUUUAUCAUUUCUAUGCUGAUGAGACUUAUUUUUCCUUCUCUAUUACAAAUGUAUCUCCUAAACUCCAGUGGAAUGGCUUUGUCAGUAAUACUAUUCUAUUUAUGAGUUCCUCUGUAAUAUGUGUGACUAAAAUGGGGUUCAUAUUCUGGAAACUGACUUGUAUUGCUUGUUCCACUCCUUCUAGUAAUAUAACACUCUUAUAUUCUUUAGGAUUAGAAAUCUUGGCUUUUUGAGGGGCAGGGUUUUCUCUUCUGUGUUAUCUUUUUUUUUAAUAUUUAUUUUUUAGUUUUAGAUGGACACAAUAUCUUUAUUUAUUUUUAUGUGGUGCUGAGGAUUGAACCCAGUGCCUCACGCAUGCCAGGCGAGCACGCUAUCACUUGAGCCACAUCCCGAGCCCCUUUCCUAUAUUAUCUAAUUGAAUUUUUUGUUAAUUUUGCCUUUUAUAAUACAGGAUUAUUACUUAUUAAUUUUUAAAUAGCUUCAUGUUCCUUCUAUAAUGAUGUCUGAUUUGCUUAUUAGAAUAAAAAAACCUCAGACCAUAUUUGGUGCCUUCUGUCAAUGAGAAUAAUCCCCUUUGUAGAAUGAUGCCCAUUAAGAGAGAUAAAUUCUUGUGUGUUUAAAAUAUCUCAUUACAUUUAAAUAUAUGCAAUACCAUUAUACAUUGUAUACUUGUCCACUUAUUUAUAAUUCCACUUAUGCAUAUAUUAUUCACUGUGUAGAACUACUUGUCUCACAAAUAUCUACUUAGUGAAACAUAAUUGGUCCUGUUCAUCCCUCUUGCUCAAAUCUGGAGACUACUUUUUAUUAUACCCUUACUGAAGUGAAGAUAAAAAGAGGAGAGAUAAAAUAAGGGAAUAUGGGUGAAAUGGUGGAAAAUUCAUAUUCAUAGGUAUUUAUUUCUUUAAUAUUAAUGGGCAUUGAAUCCAGGGUUUCAUGCACGAUAGGCAAGCACUCUUCUACUGAGCUGUACCCCUACCCCUGUUUAUUCUUUGUAAAAUUUUUUAUUUGUAGAUGGACACAAUACCUUAAUUUUGUUUAUUUAUUUAUUUUUCAAAUGUGGCAUUGAGGAUCGAACCCAGUGCCUCAUGCAUACUAGGCAAGUGUUCUACCACUGAGCCACAAACCCAGCCCCCUUUUUAUUCUUAUGUUAUUUUAAGGAUCUUGCUAAGUUGCCCAGGCUGGCCUUGAACUUGCAAUCUUCCUGCCUCAGACUUCUGAAUAACUGCGAUUACAGGUGUAUACCACUGCACCUGGCAGUCUCUAUUCAUUUUGCUGUUUUUUUUCCUGUCUCUUUUAUUUACAUUAUAUUUAUUUAUUUACCUAUAUUUUGAAAAUAAAUUUUUAUUCCCUUGUUUACUUUUUAUUUUAUUUUGGGGAUUGAACCCAGAGCCUCGUGCAUGCCUAGACAAGUGCUCUACCACUUAGUACAUACUCAGCUCUCCCAUGUUUGUUGAUGUAAUUUAAUUUUAUACAGUUUGGCAUUUUUUUAAUGUUCAAAUGUUUUUGAACAUUAAAAAAAAAACAUUUCCAAGUUGGAACUUUUUGUUUUCAAAAUACUAUAUAAGAAUACUAGUCCUUGUAAUUAGGAAGGACUUCUUUGCUGUUAAUAUAUGAUUAUAUGGUUAUGAUAGUUCCAUCUUUAUCUCUUCCCUAUAGUUUAGCUUCUGGUGUCAAAGAGACUCUUUUCCCCUAAAUUUAAUUUUGGUGUCUUAUAAUUUGUUGGGAAAGGGUGCUUUUAAUAGAGAAGUUGACAGGACCACAUUUGAGUGAGACUGACUUUUUCUUUUCUCUUCCUUUCUUUCCCUUCCUCUCCUCCCUCUCCCUGCUUUAUCUCUCUCUCCCCACAACCCCCCUUUCCUUCUUGUACCAGGUAUUGAACCCAGUGGCACUUAACCAUUGAGACAUAUCCUUA